UUAGACUGACUUAGACUUAGGAGAGG
RNAcentral lists this non-coding RNA (26 nucleotides) under Cricetulus griseus (Chinese hamster). Lineage: Eukaryota; Metazoa; Chordata; Mammalia; Rodentia; Cricetidae. The record is from RNAcentral.